Molecule: ribosomal RNA, 753 nt
Filed under: Pyriculariopsis parasitica
Lineage: Eukaryota; Fungi; Ascomycota; Sordariomycetes; Magnaporthales; Magnaporthaceae
Description: eukaryotic LSU rRNA
Rfam family: Eukaryotic large subunit ribosomal RNA (bases 1-568)
Source: RNAcentral
CUCAUGCCCAGUAACGGCGAGUGAAGCGGCAACAGCUCAAAUUUGAAAUCUGGCCCUAGGCCCGAGUUGUAAUUUGUAGAGGAUGCUUUUGGUGACGCGCCUACCGAGUCCCCUGGAAUGAGGCGCCACAGAGGGUGAGAGCCCCGUAUGGUUUGCCGCCGAGCCUCUGUAAAGCUCCUUCGACGAGUCGAGUAGUUUGGGAAUGCUGCUCUAAAUGGGAGGUAAAUUUCUUCUAAAGCUAAAUACCGGCCAGAGACCGAUAGCGCACAAGUAGAGUGAUCGAAAGAUGAAAAGCACUUUGAAAAGAGGGUUAAAUAGCACGUGAAAUUGUUGAAAGGGAAGCGCUUGUGACCAGACUCGCGCCGGGCGGAUCAUCCAGCGUUCUCGCUGGUGCACUCCGCCCGGCUCGGGCCAGCAUCGGUUUUCGCCGGGGGACAAAAGCCUCGGGAACGUGGCCCCCUUCGGGGGGUGUUAUAGCCCGUGGCAGAAUACCCCGGCGGGGACCGAGGACCGCGCUUCGGCAAGGAUGCUGGCGUAAUGGUCACCAGCGACCCGUCUUGAAAAAGGGGACCAAAAAAACCGUCCAAGAGUUCCGCUUUGCUUUGCUUCUUUCGACAAAGGUUAUUUGGCCUCUCUCCUGUCUUUUGCGCCUAUUUCACUUAAAACAGAUAUUCCCAUCUCAGGAGGCGUGCCAUACAGAUCUAUUCUACUCCUUGGGGGGAGGCUUUCAGAUAUCUCGGCGUACCACCUUAG